Molecule: unclassified non-coding RNA, 240 nt
Filed under: soil metagenome
Description: partial contains 5.8S ribosomal RNA, internal transcribed spacer 2, and large subunit ribosomal RNA
Source: RNAcentral
AACGGUCUAUACCUGCGGUACCUGCGGAAGGAUCAUUAAAGAGUUUGAUCUUCGGAUCAUCUCCCACCCUUUGUGAACUUUUUCCUGUGCUUUGGCAUUCCAUCGAUUUUUAUCGACCUCGGUUUAAUUUUAUUUUUCGAUUAUUAAACUAAUCAGAAAUAAAAAAACUCUGGAGAUGUCUGCCAAAAAAUUUUUAAACUCGAUUAAAAUUAAUUCUGAGAAAUCAUAAAAAACCAAAAC